This 493-nucleotide ribosomal RNA is filed under the name uncultured bacterium. Its description in RNAcentral is "partial 16S ribosomal RNA". It matches the Rfam family "Bacterial small subunit ribosomal RNA", at positions 30 to 523 of the family's 1533-position model. The record is from RNAcentral.
AUUGAACGCUGGCGGCAUGCUUUACACAUGCAAGUCGAACGGUAACAGGUUAAGCUGACGAGGGGCGAACGGGUGAGUAAUGCAACGGAACGUGCCAGAUCGUGGGGGAUAACGCAGCGAAAGCAGCGCUAAUACCGCAUACGAUCUGAGGAUGAAAGCGGGGGACCGUAAGGCCUCGCGCGAUCGGAGCGGCCGAUGUCAGCUUAGAUAGUAGGUGGGGUAAAGGCCCACACAGCAGACGAUCUGUAGCUGGUCUGAGAGGACGACCAGACACACUGGGACUGAGACCCGACUCAGACUACUACGAUAUGCAGAUGUGCGAAAUUUUAGCCAAUGGGCGGAAGCCUGAUCCAACAAUGCCACGUGCAGGAAGAAGACCUUCGGGUUGUAAGCUUCUUAUGUACGGCGCGAAAAGGUCCUUUCUAAUACAGGGAGCUCAUUACGUUACCGAAAGAAUAAGCACCGGCUAACUACGUGCCAGCCGCCGCCGUAA